RNAcentral lists this ribosomal RNA (2886 nucleotides) under human gut metagenome. RNAcentral's name for it is "bacterial LSU rRNA". It matches the Rfam family "Bacterial large subunit ribosomal RNA". The record is from RNAcentral.
GAAAGUAAAGAAGGGCGCAUGGCGGAUGCCUUGGCUCUCGGAGGCGAUGAAGGACGUGAUAAGCUGCGAUAAGCUUUGGGGAGGUGCAAAUGACCUUUGAUCCAGAGAUUUCCGAAUGGGACAACCCAAUAUCUUGAAGAGGUAUUAUCCAACGUUGUUGGAGGCUAACGCAGGGAACUGAAACAUCUUAGUACCUGCAGGAAAAGAAAAUAAACAAUGAUUCCCCCAGUAGUGGCGAGCGAACGGGGAACAGCCCAAACCAUCCAUGUUACGGCAUGGGUGGGGUUGUAGGACUACGCCGUUGCAUGAAGACAUCAGAGAAGAACUUUCUGGAAAGAAAGACCAUAGAGCAUGACAGUUGCGUAUUCGAAUGUUGUCGAAGCAUAGUAGUAUCCUGAGUAGCGCGGAGCACGAGGAAUUCUGCGUGAAUCUGCCGGGACCAUCCGGUAAGGCUAAAUACUCCCGAGAGACCGAUAGCGAACCAGUACCGUGAGGGAAAGGUGAAAAGCACUUCGAACAGAAGAGUGAAAUAGUUCCUGAAACCGUGCGCCUACAAGCGGUCGGAGCUCGUUAAUGAGUGACGGCGUGCCUUUUGCAUAAUGAACCUACGAGUUGCCUUUGCCGGCAAGGUUAAGUGUGACGACACACGUAUCCGAAGCGAAAGCGAGUCUGAACAGGGCGUAUAGUCGGCAGUGGCAGACGCGAAACCAAGUGAUCUACCCUUGGCCAGGUUGAAGGCUGGGUAACACCAGCUGGAGGACCGCACCAAUAAGCGUUGAAAAGCUUCUGGAUGAGCUGAGGGUAGGGGUGAAAGGCUAAUCAAACUUGGAGAUAGCUCGUACUCCCCGAAAUGCAUUUAGGUGCAGCCUUGCGGGUUACUGAUGUGAGGUAGAGCGACUGAUAAGAUGCGAGGGCUUCACCGCCUAUCAAGUCUUGACAAACUCCGAAUGCGCAUCAGUUCUACCGCAGGAGUGAGGGCAUGGGUGCUAAGGUCCGUGCCCGAGAGGAGAAGAAUCCGGACCACCUGCUAAGGUCCCGAAAUGACAGCUAAGUUAAACUAACGAAGUCUGACUGCUAAGACAGCUAGGAUGUUGGCUUGGAAGCAGCCAUUCAUUUAAAGAGUGCGUAACAGCUCACUAGUCGAGGAGUCGGGCGUGGAUAAUAAUCGGGUAUUAAGUUGUCUACCGAAGCAGUGGGAUCAUUGAUAUGAUCGGUAGGGGAGCAUUCCAGUCGGCGUCGAAGGCGUACCGUGAGGUAUUCUGGAGCGUCUGGAAAAGCAAAUGUAGGUAUAAGUAACGAUAAAGGGGGCGGGAAACCCCCUCGCCGAAAGACUAAGGUUUCCUGAUCAACGCUAAUCGGAUCAGGGUCAGUCGGGUCCUAAGGCUCAGCCGAACGGCGAUGCCGAUGGCAGAAACGGUUAAUAUUCCGUUACUACCUUCAGGAGUGACGUGGAGACGCAGUAGUGACAGUGCCGCCAUCUGACGGAAUAGAUGGUUGAAGGGUGUAGGAGUCGAUCAUGGCAGGCAAAUCCACCAUGAGAUCCGAACCUGAUAGUAUGCCGCGUCCUUCGGGACAAGGCAAUAGUGCGCGUAAGCAUGCUGCCGAGAAAAUCCGCUAAACUUAAUCCUGCAGGUACCCGUACCGCAAACGGACACACGUAGUCGGGAUGAAUAUUCUAAGGCGCUUGAGUGAUUCACGGUUAAGGAACUAGGCAAACUGACCCUGUAACUUCGGGAUAAAGGGUCCCUACCCUUUUAUGGGAGGGCGCAGAGAAUCGGUCCAGGCAACUGUUUAACAAAAACACAGGGCUGUGCCAAAUCGAAAGAUCCAGUAUACAGCCUGACACCUGCCCGGUGCUGGAAGGUUAAGAGGAGAUGUCAUCGAUAAGAGAAGCGUUGAAUUGAAGCCCCAGUAAACGGCGGCCGUAACUAUAACGGUCCUAAGGUAGCGAAAUUCCUUGUCGGGUAAGUUCCGACCUGCACGAAUGGUGUAAUGAUCUGGACGCUGUCUCAACCGUGAGCUCAGUGAAAUUGUAGUAUCGGUGAAGAUGCCGAUUACCCGCGAUGGGACGAAAAGACCCCGUGAACCUUUACUAUAGCUUAUCAUUGAAUCUGGGCACGUGAUGUGUAGGAUAGGUCGGAGGCUUUGAAGCAGGUACGCCAGUAUUUGUGGAGCCGCUGUUGAAAUACGACCCUUUAUUUGUUUGGAUUCUAACCCGUGGAACGGGGACAUUGAUUGGUGGGUAGUUUGACUGGGGUGGUCGCCUCCAAAAGCGUAACGGAGGCUUCUAAAGGUGCCCUCCGGCCGAUUGGUAACCGGCCUUAGAGUGUAAUGGCAUAAGGGCGCUUGACUGGGAGACUGACAAGUCGAUCAGGUAGGAAACUAGAGCAUAGUGAUCCGGUGUUUCCGUAUGGAAGGGACAUCGCUCAAAGGAUAAAAGGUACUCCGGGGAUAACAGGCUGAUCCCUCCCAAGAGCUCAUAUCGACGGAGUGGUUUGGCACCUCGAUGUCGGCUCGUCACAUCCUGGGGCUGGAGAAGGUCCCAAGGGUUGGGCUGUUCGCCCAUUAAAGUGGCACGCGAGCUGGGUUCAGAACGUCGUGAGACAGUUCGGUCUCUAUCUAUCGUGGGCGCAUGAAAUUUGCGUGGCUCUGACACUAGUACGAGAGGACCGUGUUGGACAGACCUCUGGUUUGCCGGUUGUGCCGCCAGGUGCAUUGCCGGGUAUCUAAGUCUGGAUCGGAUAAGUGCUGAAAGCAUCUAAGUACGAAGCCGGCCACAAGAUUAGAUUUCUCAGGGUCGUUGUAGACUACGACGUUGAUAGGAUGCAGGUGUAAAGAUGGAGACAUCAAAGCCGAGCAUUACUAAUUGCCCGUUCACUUUCUUUA